RNAcentral lists this ribosomal RNA (254 nucleotides) under uncultured bacterium. RNAcentral describes it as "partial 16S ribosomal RNA". It matches the Rfam family "Bacterial small subunit ribosomal RNA", at positions 524 to 776 of the family's 1533-position model. The record is from RNAcentral.
UACGUAGGGUGCGAGCGUUAAUCGGAAUUACUGGGCGUAAAGCGUGCGCAGGCGGUCUGUUAAGACCGAUGUGAAAUCCCCGGGCUUAACCUGGGAACUGCAUUGGUGACUGGCAGGCUUUGAGUGUGGCAGAGGGAGGUAGAAUUCCACGUGUAGCAGUGAAAUGCGUAGAGAUGUGGAGGAAUACCGAUGGCGAAGGCAGCCUCCUGGGCCAACACUGACGCUCAUACACGAAAGCGUGGGGAGCAAACAGG